AACGAACGCUGGCGGCAUGCCUAACACAUGCAAGUCGAACGAGACCUUCGGGUCUAGUGGCGCACGGGUGCGUAACGCGUGGGAACCUGCCCUUAGGUUCGGAAUAACUCCCCGAAAGGGGUGCUAAUACCGGAUAAUGUCUUCGGACCAAAGAUUUAUCGCCUUUGGAUGGGCCCGCGUUGGAUUAGCUAGUUGGUAGGGUAAAAGCCUACCAAGGCGACGAUCCAUAGCUGGUCUGAGAGGAUGAUCAGCCACACUGGGACUGAGACACGGCCCAGACUCCACGGGGGGGAGGAGGGGGGAAUUAUGGAAAAGGGGGGAAAAGCUUGACCAAACAGGCCGGGGGGAGAAAGAAGGGCUUGGGGUUUGAAAAGCUUUUUUCCCGGGAAUAAAAAGAAGAGACCGGGGAAAAGAAGCCCGGGAAACCCCGGUC
RNAcentral lists this ribosomal RNA (433 nucleotides) under uncultured bacterium. Its description in RNAcentral is "partial 16S ribosomal RNA". It matches the Rfam family "Bacterial small subunit ribosomal RNA", at positions 29 to 508 of the family's 1533-position model. The record is from RNAcentral.